RNAcentral lists this non-coding RNA (184 nucleotides) under Shimwellia blattae. The record is from RNAcentral. RNAcentral also lists the same sequence under 1 other name. Lineage: Bacteria; Pseudomonadati; Pseudomonadota; Gammaproteobacteria; Enterobacterales; Enterobacteriaceae.
CUGUAGCAUCGCGUUUCCGGUCUCUUUACAAGAGCGAAAAGGGAAUCCAGUGAAAAUCUGGGGCUGACGCGCAGCGGUAAAGGUAGGUGGAUGAACGCUAUUGCAGACACUGUUUAACUGAACGGGAAGUCCUCAUCCGUAAUCACCCCUGAGCCCGAAGACCUGCCGGAGACACGUCGCACCU